RNAcentral lists this ribosomal RNA (381 nucleotides) under uncultured archaeon. RNAcentral's name for it is "bacterial SSU rRNA". It matches the Rfam family "Archaeal small subunit ribosomal RNA", at positions 345 to 727 of the family's 1478-position model. The record is from RNAcentral.
AAACUUUGCAAUGUGCGCAAGCACGACAAGGUUAAUCCGAGUGUUUCCUGCUAAAGGAAUCUUUUGCUAGUCCUAAAAACACUAGCGAAUAAGGGGUGGGCAAGUUCUGGUGUCAGCCGCCGCGGUAAAACCAGCACCUCAAGUGGUCAGGAGGAUUAUUGGGCCUAAAGCAUCCGUAGCCUGCUUUGUAAGUUUCCGGUUAAAUCCAUUAGCUCAACUAAUGGGCCGCCGGAAAAACUGCAAAGCUAGGGAGUGGGAGAGGUAGACGGUACUCGGUAGGAAGGGGUAAAAUCCUUUGAUCUAUCGAUGACCACCUGUGGCGAAGGCGGUCUACCAGAACACGUUCGACGGUGAGGGAUGAAAGCUGGGGGAGCAAACCGG